RNAcentral lists this transfer RNA (67 nucleotides) under Bacteroidota bacterium. RNAcentral's name for it is "Bacteroidetes bacterium tRNA-His". It matches the Rfam family "tRNA", at positions 6 to 65 of the family's 71-position model. From Rfam's summary of the family: Transfer RNA (tRNA) molecules are approximately 80 nucleotides in length. Their secondary structure includes four short double-helical elements and three loops (D, anti-codon, and T loops). The record is from RNAcentral. Lineage: Bacteria; Pseudomonadati; Bacteroidota.
AGAAGUUUGGUUGGUUAGAGCACCUGAUUGUGGUUCAGGGGGUCGCGGGUUCAAGUCCCGUCUUCCA